This 465-nucleotide ribosomal RNA is filed under the name uncultured bacterium. RNAcentral describes it as "partial 16S ribosomal RNA". It matches the Rfam family "Bacterial small subunit ribosomal RNA", at positions 28 to 507 of the family's 1533-position model. The record is from RNAcentral.
GACGAACGCUGGCGGCGUGCUUAACACAUGCAAGUCGAACGGAAAGGCCCUGCUUGCAGGGUACUCGAGUGGCGAACGGGUGAGUAACACGUGGGUGAUCUGCCCUGCACUUCGGGAUAAGCCUGGGAAACUGGGUCUAAUACCGGAUAGGAGCCAUUUUUAGUGUGAUGGUUGGAAAGUUUUUUCGGUGUAGGAUGAGCUCGCGGCCUAUCAGCUUGUUGGUGGGGUAAUGGCCUACCAAGGCGGCGACGGGUAGCCGGCCUGAGAGGGUGGACGGCCACAUUGGGACUGGGAUACGGCCCAGACUCCUACGGGAGGCAGUAGUGGGGAAUAUUGCACAAUGGGCGCAAGCCUGAUGCAGCGACGCCGCGUGGGGGAUGACGGCCUUCGGGUUGUAAACUCCUUUCGCUAGGGACGAAGCUUUUUGUGACGGUACCUAGAUAAGAAGCGCCGGCUAACUACGUG